Molecule: transfer RNA, 68 nt
Filed under: Aristelliger praesignis (Woodslave)
Lineage: Eukaryota; Metazoa; Chordata; Lepidosauria; Squamata; Sphaerodactylidae
Description: tRNA-Ala
Source: RNAcentral
AAGGCCUUAGUUUAAUUAAAGCGUUUGAGUUGCAUUCAGAAGAUGUAUAUUAAAGUUCUGCAGGUCUU